GUGGUUUUAUAUAGUGUUGCCAAUUCACUGUAUGAGACACCUGAACUCAACAGAAAACAGCCUAGGACACUUCCUUUGUUUUGGAUUUAUUCCUUACCCUCUCAGAGUUAUUUACAUGAGAUCCCUGUCCAAGUGAAGUGACUCUGUUGACUUAAUGAUUGCCCCCAUCAAAGUAUGAAGAAAAAAAUAAGAACCUUCAGUGCUUCCUCUAGUUUUUCAUAUAUGAACUAAGAAAAUUUUGUACAGCUUCAAUACAAAACAGUCAGCCACAGUGUUAAUUCAAAGCAUGUUUUAAGUUCACGAACCUUUAG
Molecule: long non-coding RNA, 311 nt
Filed under: Gallus gallus (chicken)
Lineage: Eukaryota; Metazoa; Chordata; Aves; Galliformes; Phasianidae
Source: RNAcentral